UUAAAUCGAAUGUGAACUCUUUGGAUAAAAUGAAAAUGCCAGAUAGUAUUCUACUUAUUUAGCCAAGGGCUAUUUUGAUUAUUUAACAAUGAAAUAUUUUGAUUAUUUACGUUAUCACAACAACGGAUAGAAGAAUAAAGACGCCAUCGAAGGACCAACAGAUCCAUGGUGUCCCAACAGGACCUACUACUACGUCCAGUUUUGUAUUUGAAGAACUUGAGAAGGGAACCACGGUGACUGAUUAUCCAGCAGAUACGGGGUUCUCAGAGCAAGUUCCCCGGCGAGAUAUUCCAGCGUGGUUUCAUCUUGUCAGUGGUGGUGGACGGGGAUCUGACAAGGAAAGGCGUAUAGAUGUUUUGAUGGGACGAAAACCCGAGGACCCUGUAAACAUUGGCGUGCAUGCAAAAGAAUCCCUGGCAGUUGGAAUUCGAAAUAAGAGUAGACCGUAGCACGCUGUCCGGACAUUAAACCCCGUUUUAUUUCAUCUCAGUCAACUCACAAACAAUGAAAGCGGCUAAAUGACACGUAUGUUUCGCAGAAAACCACAAAAACAAAAUCAUGUUUCAUUUGUUUUAACCCUAAUAAAAUACAACUUGA
This is a long non-coding RNA of Patella vulgata (common limpet), 597 nucleotides long. RefSeq lists it as uncharacterized. The transcript is spliced from 2 exons. NCBI's taxonomy places the organism in Eukaryota, Metazoa, Mollusca, Gastropoda, Patellidae. The record is from RefSeq and is a predicted model, not a curated record.